UAUUAUUUUUUUUUUCCUACAGACCACAGGCAAUUGCUGUUCCUCUCUUUUGAAAGAAACUCCGGCUGUACCUGCUCUUUCAUCUCCUUCGUGGAAAAAUGUCUAUCGGCUGGAAGCCCUAGGAGUCUUAAUUUUCAAGGAUUUUAGUUGUAAGAUGUUCAAGGCAUGAGACACACACCACCUAUUCAACCACAGGAAGUUUGGCCAGGCAUUGCGCUAGAUGCCAGCGGAGGAUAAGAACAUGAACUGGAAGCCAAAGAUGAAGAUUAACCCUGAGCCAACAUCAGCUGCCUGUCCUCUUCUUUUUGCUGAGGAAGACUGGCCCUGAGCUAACAUCUGUGCUCAUCUUCCUCUACUUUAUAUGUGGGAUGCCUGCCACAGCAUGGCUUGCCAAGUGGUGCCAUGUCCGCACCCGGGAUCCGAACUGGCGAACCCUGGGCUGCCGAAGCGGAACGUGUGCACUUAACCGCUGUGCCACUGGGCGGGCCCCUAUUUAUACUCUUGAACUCCUUUGGUGGUGGAGAUUUCACUCCAUGAGACAAUCCAUUUCAUCUUUGGAUAGCUGAGACGGUUAAAAAGUUCUUUCC
This 587-nucleotide long non-coding RNA is filed under the name Equus caballus (horse). RNAcentral describes it as "lncRNA (ENSECAG00000057376.1)". Lineage: Eukaryota; Metazoa; Chordata; Mammalia; Perissodactyla; Equidae. The record is from RNAcentral.